UGACCCUUUAAACCAGUCCCGUGAGACUGAAAAGGAAUUCGGACUUUUUAUGGAUACGUCUGUCCAAAUCCCCUUUCGUCUUCGGAUGAAAGGGGAUUUUUUUU
Molecule: regulatory RNA element, 104 nt
Organism: Pontibacillus halophilus
Lineage: Bacteria; Bacillati; Bacillota; Bacilli; Caryophanales; Bacillaceae
Rfam family: PyrR binding site
About the family: This family represents the PyrR binding site and terminator structure. This RNA structure is found upstream of a variety of genes involved in pyrimidine biosynthesis and transport. The alignment also includes a portion of the antiterminator structure.
Source: Rfam